This 71-nucleotide transfer RNA is filed under the name Camelus bactrianus (Bactrian camel). It matches the Rfam family "tRNA". From Rfam's summary of the family: Transfer RNA (tRNA) molecules are approximately 80 nucleotides in length. Their secondary structure includes four short double-helical elements and three loops (D, anti-codon, and T loops). Further hydrogen bonds mediate the characteristic L-shaped molecular structure. tRNAs have two regions of fundamental functional importance: the anti-codon, which is responsible for specific mRNA codon recognition, and the 3' end, to which the tRNAs corresponding amino acid is attached (by aminoacyl-tRNA synthetases). tRNAs cope with the degeneracy of the genetic code in two manners: having more than one tRNA (with a specific anti-codon) for a particular amino acid; and 'wobble' base-pairing, i.e. permitting non-standard base-pairing at the 3rd anti-codon position. RNAcentral also lists the same sequence under 1 other name. The record is from Rfam by way of RNAcentral. Lineage: Eukaryota; Metazoa; Chordata; Mammalia; Artiodactyla; Camelidae.
GAGGGUAAAGCUCAGUGGUAGAGUGCAUGCUUAGCAUGCAUGAAGUCCUGGUUCAAUCCCCAGUGCCUCUG